UACAGAGGGUGCGAGCGUUAAUCGGAAUUACUGGGCGUAAAGCGCGCGUAGGCGGCUUUUCAAGUCGAUUGUGAAAUCCCCGGGCUUAACCUGGGAACUGCAGUCGAGACUGUCUAGCUAGAGUAUGGGAGAGGGAAGUGGAAUUUCAGGUGUAGCGGUGAAAUGCGUAGAUAUCUGAAGGAACAUCAGUGGCGAAGGCGGCUCUCUGGAACGCAACUGACGCUGAGACGCGAAAGCGUGGGGAGCAAACAGG
This 253-nucleotide ribosomal RNA is filed under the name uncultured bacterium. RNAcentral describes it as "partial 16S ribosomal RNA". It matches the Rfam family "Bacterial small subunit ribosomal RNA", at positions 524 to 776 of the family's 1533-position model. The record is from RNAcentral.